RNAcentral lists this ribosomal RNA (663 nucleotides) under uncultured Methylobacter sp. RNAcentral describes it as "bacterial SSU rRNA". It matches the Rfam family "Bacterial small subunit ribosomal RNA", at positions 9 to 670 of the family's 1533-position model. The record is from RNAcentral. Lineage: Bacteria; Pseudomonadati; Pseudomonadota; Gammaproteobacteria; Methylococcales; Methylococcaceae.
GAGUUUGAUCCUGGCUCAGAUUGAACGCUGGCGGUAUGCUUAACACAUGCAAGUCGAACGGUAGCAGGCCUUUGGGCGCUGACGAGUGGCGGACGGGUGAGUAACGCGUAGGAAUCUGCCUCAUAGUGGGGGACAACGUGGGGAAACUCACGCUAAUACCGCAUACGCCCUACGGGGGAAAGCGGGGGACCUUCGGGCCUCGCGCUAUGAGAUGAGCCUGCGUUAGAUUAGCUAGUUGGUAGGGUAAAGGCCUACCAAGGCGACGAUCUAUAGCUGGUCUGAGAGGACGAUCAGCCACACUGGGACUGAGACACGGCCCAGACUCCUACGGGAGGCAGCAGUGGGGAAUAUUGGACAAUGGGCGCAAGCCUGAUCCAGCAAUACCGCGUGUGUGAAGAAGGCCCUAGGGUUGUAAAGCACUUUCAAUGGGGAGGAAAACAGUCAGAUUAAUACCCUGGCUCUUGACAUUACCUUUAGAAGAAGCACCGGCUAACUCCGUGCCAGCAGCCGCGGUAAUACGGAGGGUGCGAGCGUUAAUCGGAAUUACUGGGCGUAAAGCGUGCGUAGGCGGUUCGUUAAGUCAGAUGUGAAAGCCCCGGGCUUAACCUGGGAACUGCAUUUGAAACUGGCGAACUAGAGUUUAAUAGAGGGGAGUGGAAUUUC